GCCGAAGUGGCGGAACGGCAGACGCGCUACGUUCAGGGCGUAGUGGGGGAACCCCCGUGGGAGUUCAAAUCUCCCCUUCGGCACCA
This 86-nucleotide transfer RNA is filed under the name Chloroflexota bacterium. Its description in RNAcentral is "Chloroflexi bacterium (hot springs metagenome) tRNA-Leu". It matches the Rfam family "tRNA". From Rfam's summary of the family: Transfer RNA (tRNA) molecules are approximately 80 nucleotides in length. Lineage: Bacteria; Bacillati; Chloroflexota. The record is from RNAcentral.